CAGUUCUGAAUCAGUUCAGCUGAGCUCGCAGUCAGUCGCGACUCACUGAGUGAAUGAUUCAAGUCGUUCAUUCGCAGGAGGAACGGGGUUCGUUCAAGACAGCAAAUACACAGCUGAUUCGGGAUUGGUCUUGGAUUGCAAUCCAGAUAUAAGACAUUAUCAAGAUUGAUAUUAUAUGCAUAGGCUAACAUUUAUUGUUACCGAGUGUGUGCGCACACACACACACACACACUCACACACACACAAUGUUACUGUUUUGAAAAGAGGGCAGCUAUGAGGAUACACUCACAUGUGUGUGUGUCGCUGCUAAUCUGUAUAUAUUCUUUGUCGAUUUGUGGAUUUUAUUGCAUUUUACUGUUUUUAAGCCAGUGUUUCAUGGUCUUCCAACCACUGACCAAACAAAGAUUUGCUGCUCUUUUUUCUUUUUUAUUACUUUUAUCACCUUUUGAACUCAAUUAGCCGUGGAUACACACAAACUGUUUUGGAUUUUAUGCUGCUUGGGACUACAUCCCACCUUUGGCUGGGAAACUAAGGACAAUCUACUCGGAGGCGACCGACAGCCCGGAUACUUGAGGUUUCAUCAAAACCAGAUUGCCUGAUGCCAGCAGUCGAAUUCGUCAUGCACUGUGAUGCGGGAGCGACUGUCAACCACCAGGUGGGGGUGUCGCGCUGCGCUCAUCGGGGCUCAACGGAGGAGCAACGUCUUCGUGCCCGAGAGGACUGGAAGCACAGCAACCUGCAGUACCACGGUGACGCCGCUGGGUGGCGCACGAUGACGUGUUCACCGCCCUCAACUGCACAUGGGGCUUUUCCCCCUCUUGGCUGAGUUCAGACUCAAACUCCCGUCGCACCUGAGUGUGUUUGAAAUAGUGGCUCCUAACUAGGGGGUGGGGGCCCCUGUUACAAGAUAAUAAUCUCUUUGUGUUGUGUCAGGUAUUUUGUACUUAUUAUUCAUACUUAUACAUAUUUAUCUUCCUUUAUAUAUACUAUUAUAACUUUGACAAUAAUGAUUCAAAGGUUUUUGCACUACUGGGCUAAUAUUUUUGCACAAGCCAUGCAUCUGGUCUAUAUAGAGACCCAAGUGAUGCCAAAAUAUCUCAAGUAACCAUGAAAUUGCAGAAUAAUCAAAUACAUUUUUAAACUCAGCACAUUAUGAUGAAAUGCAAUGUCCCCCCCUGCGCUCUUAGGCAGAGCAAGAAGCGCUGGUGUGAGCCUUUAUUUAGUCUUGCAUAUCAGUUUAAACGCUGACCAGCUCAAAACCUCGCCAGCUUUUCGUCAGGGUGGAAAUAGUUAAAAAAAAAAGAAAAGAAAAAGAAAAGAAAGACAAAAGGUUACUUUGAAUAAUCCAAAAUAUGUUGCGGAUUUAAUGUGUAAUGGUAAAUUCUUCCAAUCAAAGGGAGCUUUAAAAGUUUUUUUUUAACCUGUUUCUGACUGAUCAGAGUAUCUCAUCUUAAAAAAUACAAUGAAACCGCUUCAUAUAAACUGGGUUAUUAAAAUGAAUGCGUUUAAAAAUUCUCUGGUAUUUAAAGACAGCAGAUGACCUGCCGUGUACAUAUCACAAUGGUGGGUAUUAAAAGAAACAUUUCAAAAUAAACCUAUAUUAACUAUUGAGCUUGGAAUUACAUUUUUUUUUUUAAUUUUCACAUAGUUCAUGUCAUGUAUCUUUUUCUUGUGCUGCUGCAAGAUGUGAAUUUCCGCCAUGGGGGUCUAGGGGGCGCCGUAACAGCACUUUCCGGUCAGAUGUGCACUCUUCUGUUUUCUGUAUUACACUGGCACUUCACUGAAGAGACAGAAAGUUCUGAAGAUUUAUCUGCGCAGUGGCAGUGAGUGCAGUGUAUUUGAGAAUUAGUACAGCCAUUCCCAAAUAGGCUGCAGUUUGUCUUUUUACUUUGAAGUGAAGGAAUAAGACAUUUGCUAUUAAUGUGUGAGUUUGAUAUGAAUCCUGCAAGAUGCAUUGAUUUAUUUCAUUGAUCUGAUUUGCUCGUUCUGUCAUUGACUGAUUGUUUUCACUGGAUAGCUGAUAGAGAAAUCAGCUGAGCCAAAAGUCCUCUGUUGAUUGACAAAAGCAAAUGAAGAACGUUAUCAAAACAUACCUUUAAAAACAGUGAUACCAAAAAUGAUUUUAGACGAUUAGGAAAAUGUAAACUAAUAUGUCUCGACUUGUGGCUUAUAAAAUGAUAUUUGACAUUUUGGAGAACUACAUAUACAUGUUGUAAAGAGAGAGGAAAUAAAAUAUUUUUCAACACAA
Xiphias gladius (swordfish) is the source of this 2248-nucleotide long non-coding RNA. RefSeq lists it as uncharacterized. The record is from RefSeq and is a predicted model, not a curated record. NCBI's taxonomy places the organism in Eukaryota, Metazoa, Chordata, Actinopteri, Istiophoriformes, Xiphiidae. The transcript is spliced from 2 exons.